AGAGUUUGAUCCUGGCUCAGGAUGAACGCUGGCGGCGUGCCUAAUACAUGCAAGUCGAGCGAACGGACGAGAAGCUUGCUUCUCUGAUGUUAGCGGCGGACGGGUGAGUAACACGUGGAUAACCUACCUAUAAGACUGGGAUAACUUCGGGAAACCGGAGCUAAUACCGGAUGAUAUUUUGAACCGCAUGGUUCAAAAGUGAAAGACGGUCUUGCUGUCACUUAUAGAUGGAUCCGCGCUGCAUUAGCUAGUUGGUAAGGUAACGGCUUACCAAGGCAACGAUGCAUAGCCGACCUGAGAGGAUGAUCGGCCACACUGGAACUGAGACACGGUCCAGACUCCUACGGGAGGCAGCAGUAGGGAAUCUUCCGCAAUGGGCGAAAGCCUGACGGAGCAACGCCGCGUGAGUGAUGAAGGUCUUCGGAUCGUAAAACUCUGUUAUUAGGGAAGAACAUAUGUGUAAGUAACUGUGCACAUCUUGACGGUACCUAAUCAGAAAGCCACGGCUAACUACGUGCCAGCAGCCGCGGUAAUACGUAGGUGGCAAGCGUUAUCCGGAAUUAUUGGGCGUAAAGCGCGCGUAGGCGGUUUUUUAAGUCUGAUGUGAAAGCCCACGGCUCAACCGUGGAGGGUCAUUGGAAACUGGAAAACUUGAGUGCAGAAGAGGAAAGUGGAAUUCCAUGUGUAGCGGUGAAAUGCGCAGAGAUAUGGAGGAACACCAGUGGCGAAGGCGACUUUCUGGUCUGUAACUGACGCUGAUGUGCGAAAGCGUGGGGAUCAAACAGGAUUAGAUACCCUGGUAGUCCACGCCGUAAACGAUGAGUGCUAAGUGUUAGGGGGUUUCCGCCCCUUAGUGCUGCAGCUAACGCAUUAAGCACUCCGCCUGGGGAGUACGACCGCAAGGUUGAAACUCAAAGGAAUUGACGGGGACCCGCACAAGCGGUGGAGCAUGUGGUUUAAUUCGAAGCAACGCGAAGAACCUUACCAAAUCUUGACAUCCUUUGACAACUCUAGAGAUAGAGCCUUCCCCUUCGGGGGACAAAGUGACAGGUGGUGCAUGGUUGUCGUCAGCUCGUGUCGUGAGAUGUUGGGUUAAGUCCCGCAACGAGCGCAACCCUUAAGCUUAGUUGCCAUCAUUAAGUUGGGCACUCUAAGUUGACUGCCGGUGACAAACCGGAGGAAGGUGGGGAUGACGUCAAAUCAUCAUGCCCCUUAUGAUUUGGGCUACACACGUGCUACAAUGGACAAUACAAAGGGCAGCGAAACCGCGAGGUCAAGCAAAUCCCAUAAAGUUGUUCUCAGUUCGGAUUGUAGUCUGCAACUCGACUACAUGAAGCUGGAAUCGCUAGUAAUCGUAGAUCAGCAUGCUACGGUGAAUACGUUCCCGGGUCUUGUACACACCGCCCGUCACACCACGAGAGUUUGUAACACCCGAAGCCGGUGGAGUAACCUUUUAGGAGCUAGCCGUCGAAGGUGGGACAAAUGAUUGGGGUGAAGUCGUAACAAGGUAGCCGUAUCGGAAGGUGCGGCUGGAUCACCU
This 1540-nucleotide ribosomal RNA is filed under the name Staphylococcus aureus T66282. RNAcentral describes it as "16S ribosomal RNA". It matches the Rfam family "Bacterial small subunit ribosomal RNA". RNAcentral also lists the same sequence under 1 other name. Lineage: Bacteria; Bacillati; Bacillota; Bacilli; Caryophanales; Staphylococcaceae. The record is from RNAcentral.